RNAcentral lists this ribosomal RNA (519 nucleotides) under uncultured bacterium. RNAcentral describes it as "partial 16S ribosomal RNA". It matches the Rfam family "Bacterial small subunit ribosomal RNA", at positions 28 to 523 of the family's 1533-position model. The record is from RNAcentral.
GACGAACGCUGGCGGCGUGCUUAACACAUGCAAGUCGAACGGAGAAUUUUAUUUCGGUGAAAUUCUUAGUGGCGAACGGGUGAGUAACGCGUAGACAACCUACCUCUCAGAUGGGGACAACAUCGCGAAAGCGGUGCUAAUACCGAAUGAUGUAACUUUUCUGCAUGGAAGAGUUACCAAAGGCGGCCUCUAUUUAUAAGCUGUCACUGAGAGAUGGGUCUGCGUCUGAUUAGCUAGUUGGCGGGGUAAUGGCCCACCAAGGCGACGAUCAGUAGCCGGUCUGAGAGGAUGAACGGCCACAGUGGGACUGAGACACGGCCCAAACUCCUACGGGAGGCAGCAGUGGGGAAUCUUCCGCAAUGGACGAAAGUCUGACGGAGCAACGCCGCGUGAGUGAAGAAGGUUUUCGGAUCGUAAAGCUCUGUUGUUUGAGACGAACGUGCAAUCUUUGAAAAGGAAUUGUAAUGACGGUAUUAAACGAGAAAGCCACGGCUAACUACGUGCCAGCCGCCGCCGUAA